This 420-nucleotide ribosomal RNA is filed under the name uncultured Glomeromycotina. RNAcentral's name for it is "SSU rRNA". It matches the Rfam family "Eukaryotic small subunit ribosomal RNA", at positions 674 to 1092 of the family's 1831-position model. Lineage: Eukaryota; Fungi; Glomeromycota. The record is from RNAcentral.
UACGUACUGGCAUUGUUGGUUUCUCCCUUCUGACGAACCAUGAUGUCAUUUAUUUGGUGUUGUGGGGAAUCAGGACUGUUACUUUGAAAAAAUUAGAGUGUUUAAAGCAGGCUCACGCUUGAAUACAUUAGCAUGGAAUAAUGAAAUAGGACGUUUGAUUCUAUUUUGUUGGUUUCUAGGAUCGACGUAAUGAUUAAUAGGGAUAGUUGGGGGCAUUAGUAUUCAAUUGUCAGAGGUGAAAUUCUUGGAUUUAUUGAAGACUAACUACUGCGAAAGCAUUUGCCAAGGAUGUUUUCAUUAAUCAAGAACGAAAGUUAGGGGAUCGAAGACGAUCAGAUACCGUCGUAGUCUUAACCAUAAACUAUGCCGACUAGGGAUCGGAUGAUGUUAAUUUUUUAAUGACUCAUUCGGCGCCUUACG